Molecule: ribosomal RNA, 297 nt
Filed under: uncultured bacterium
Lineage: Bacteria
Description: partial 16S ribosomal RNA
Rfam family: Bacterial small subunit ribosomal RNA
Source: RNAcentral
GAUAAACGCUAGCGGCAGGCCUAACACAUGCAAGUCGACUCGAGUCUUCGGACUUGGGUGGCGCACGGGUGAGUAACGCGUAAGGAACUCGCCUCUUAGACCGGGACAACAUCUGGAAACGGAUGCUAAUACCGGAUAUUAUGGUUUUUUCGCAUGGAGGAAUCAUGAAAGCUAGAUGCGCUAAGAGAGAGCUUUGCGUCCCAUUAGCUAGUUGGUGAGGUAACGGCCCACCAAGGCAAUGAUGGGUAGCCGGCCUGAGAGGGUGAACGGCCACAAGGGGACUGAGACACGGCCCAG